Molecule: long non-coding RNA, 874 nt
Filed under: Salvia miltiorrhiza (redroot sage)
Lineage: Eukaryota; Viridiplantae; Streptophyta; Magnoliopsida; Lamiales; Lamiaceae
Description: long non-coding RNA (SMIL_LNC010911)
Source: RNAcentral
UCUCAUCACUCUCGCCGCCCUCCACCCUCUUUCUCCCUACCUCUCUCUCCUCUCUUCCUUCAUGCCGACGCCGCCGCCUUCCUUUUCCGGCGAAAUCGCCACCAGCUGCCACCACCACCACCUCCUUCCCGUCCUCAAACUCGCUCAAAACCCCAUUCUUUGUUUCUCAAAACCGAACCAGAUGAAGUACCAUGAAACUCUCCCCCUAUCUCUCCUUCUCCUCCGGCUGCAGAGGCCGACACCGACCGCCGCCGCAUUGGGCACCACCACCGCCCUCUCAACUCUUUCUUUUUCCCCUUCUCUCCUACUCUCCUGCAAAAACCCCAAAUCUGCAAAUAAAAUCCCUAAAUCCUCUCUGACUUCUAGCAGACGGACAGCAGGAGCCAGAAGGCCAUUUCCGCCGCCGCCGAUCUCACCCUCUCUGGACCUUCGGUCGACCUCAAAGGCCGAGGCCGCCGUCGCUCCUUCCGCCGAACAGCCCCACCGUCCAGCCGCCUCCCCUUUCUCUCUCUAUUUAUGGCAGACGCCAGCAGGAGCAUCAGGCCGCUGCCGCCGCCGGCACUCCCUCCUCCGUCCUAAUCUCCACCCUUCUCUCGCCGGCGAGAAGCCGCCGCCAUCCAUCGGCGUCACGGCCACAACGCCGCUGCCCACAGCAGCAUCGCCGGUCUUCUCUUCCUCCGUUCUCCCUCGAAUCACAACCCAGCAGCUGUUAGAAAGGAAAGAAUCCGUUAAGAGUUUUUUUUAGGGGUUAAAUCCUCUAUCAAGGAUCCUUUGAUAUUACUUUUUUGAUACUCCCUCAGUUCACGAAAAAGUGCCAUAUUUACCUCUUUUUUUGUCCACGAAAAAAUGUCAUAUUUACCUUUUUAUACAUUCA